AUUACCCUACGGGACGCAGCAGUGAGGAAUAUUGGUCAAUGGCCGAGAGGCUGAACCAGCCAAGUCGCGUGAGGGAUGACGGCCCUACGGGUUGUAAACCUCUUUUGUCGGGGAGCAAGACCCGCCUCGUGCAGGCGGAGCGAGAGUACCCGAAGAAAAAGCAUCGGCUAACUCCGUGCCAGCAGCCGCGGUAAUACGGAGGAUGCGAGCGUUAUCCGGAUUUAUUGGGUUUAAAGGGUGCGCAGGCGGAUCAUCAAGUCAGCGGUAAAAUAGUGGGGCCCAA
Molecule: ribosomal RNA, 283 nt
Filed under: uncultured bacterium
Lineage: Bacteria
Description: partial 16S ribosomal RNA
Rfam family: Bacterial small subunit ribosomal RNA
Source: RNAcentral